This 89-nucleotide transfer RNA is filed under the name Ostreobium quekettii. RNAcentral describes it as "tRNA-Ser". It matches the Rfam family "tRNA". Rfam says of the family: Transfer RNA (tRNA) molecules are approximately 80 nucleotides in length. Their secondary structure includes four short double-helical elements and three loops (D, anti-codon, and T loops). Lineage: Eukaryota; Viridiplantae; Chlorophyta; Ulvophyceae; Bryopsidales; Ostreobiaceae. The record is from RNAcentral.
GGAAAAAUGGCUGAGUGGUCGAAAGCGUCAGAUUGCUAAUCUGUUGUAUGAUUAAUAUCAUACCGAGGGUUCGAACCCCUCUUUUUCCG